ACCGCUCAAGCUCCCUCCUCGUCGAGCUCCCAUCGCGCCCCUCGCGCCCUAGAUCCGCCUCGCCGCCGACCCUGCACCUCCGCCACGCCCCGCCGCUGGGACCUCCACAAGGACCAGGGUGCCGCCGUUCCUCAAUCUCGCCGGAUUCGGCCGCCUCCACGCGCAAAUCCGUCGGAAAUGAAUCCACCCCGACCAGAUCCGCCCGGAUCCAACCGGGCCCCGCCGUCGUAGCCACCGGAGAGCCGCCCCGCUUGACCUACAACGCCUCUGUUACCUGUCCCUGCACGCAUCUGCACGAGGAUGAUGCUCGCGGCGCUCGCAUGGGUCGCGCCCCAGCCGGUCCGUCUGAAAUGGAUCCGCCCGGAUCCAACCGGGCCACGCCAUCGUCGUUACGAGGGGCCGCCCCGUUCUACAUACAGUGCCGCCACUGCCUGUCGCUGCAAGGGAACGACCGCUCGUCCCCUCGCUCGUAGCGCUCACAUGGGUCGGCUAUGACGCAUCAAGCCUAGGUCCAUCCCAAGCUCCGUCCCCGCAGCUGCUCCACCCGCUUCAUCUACUCCCAAUGCCUUUGCCUAAAAAAAAUCUACUCCCAAUGCCUCACCACUGCCUCCAGUGCCAACUCCGUCGCUACCAUCGCCUGGCCGCUUUGGCAUCGUCGGCGAGGACGGCGCUACGCGUGAUGACUUUGACAUCGGCGGCGGUGUCAAUGAAACCGAUCUAGCCACAAGCAGCGAAGGAGGCAACAUGGUUCAUGGAUUGGGAAGUUCCCUGCCUACCCCGCCAGCAUGAGGGAGUACAUUCCCUGCGUCGACAACGACAAGGAGAUCAGGCGUUUUCCCUCCACGGAGCGUGGGGAGCGAUUCAAGCGGCACAUGCCCGGAGCUGCCUCGUGCCAUCCCCCGAGGGAUAUAAGGUGUCCAUCCGUGGCCUCCGAGCAGAGAUGAGAAAAGCGACUUGGGCUUCAACCGUCCCGUGUGUUGCGUGAAGACUAAACAUCUCUAGCUGUAUACUCUGUUUGCAUGUUGGCAUCUCUGUUUUUUCAUCUACAAGGCGCCGGGGCUAUGCAUGCGCUUUCCAUCGAAAAAAAAAAAGGUAAUAGGAGCUGUUGAGAAUGUUGAUUCUGUAGCUAGCCGAUUAGAGAUGUGGAGAAUGAGUAAUUACACACUUCUUGUUACUCUGCUGUAGAAAUUUAGAACUAGAGAGUGGGUGGACAUAGAAAGUUCUUAGUUGUAAUCUACUUGAGACUGAAAGCUGUUAGAGUUGUUGUUGUUGGCAGAUGUAAUGGCAUGUUGUAACAUAACAUAUACACAUGAUGAGGGUAGUACUUAAUCUGGUUUUGUGCAA
RNA transcript from Hordeum vulgare subsp. vulgare (domesticated barley), 1344 nucleotides. RefSeq lists it as uncharacterized. Lineage: Eukaryota; Viridiplantae; Streptophyta; Magnoliopsida; Poales; Poaceae. The record is from RefSeq and is a predicted model, not a curated record. The transcript is spliced from 3 exons.